RNAcentral lists this ribosomal RNA (296 nucleotides) under uncultured bacterium. Its description in RNAcentral is "partial 16S ribosomal RNA". It matches the Rfam family "Bacterial small subunit ribosomal RNA", at positions 521 to 816 of the family's 1533-position model. The record is from RNAcentral.
UAAGACGAACCGUCCAAACGUUAUUCGGAAUCACUGGGCUUAAAGGGUGCGUAGGCGGCGCGGAAAGUUGGGUGUGAAAUCCCUCGGCUCAACCGAGGAACUGCGCCCAAAACUACCGUGCUCGAGGGAGAUAGAGGUGAGCGGAACUUAGGGUGGAGCGGUGAAAUGCGUUGAUAUCCUAAGGAACACCGGUGGCGAAAGCGGCUCACUGGAUCUCUUCUGACGCUGAGGCACGAAAGCUAGGGUAGCGAACGGGAUUAGAUACCCCGGUAGUCCUAGCCGUAAACGAUGAGCAC